Myripristis murdjan (pinecone soldierfish) is the source of this 487-nucleotide non-coding RNA. NCBI's taxonomy places the organism in Eukaryota, Metazoa, Chordata, Actinopteri, Holocentriformes, Holocentridae. The record is from the annotation of a RefSeq genome assembly.
UUUGCAUGGUCAGCUGAUCCUCCAGUGAACUGAGAAGGUUUAUAGUCCUGUGAGUUCAACACUGCAGGACUCACAUGUGUCAGUCAACACAGCACAAAGCACAAGCAGCAUGACUCUCCUCAGCAUCUUCAUCUGGACGCUGGCCUGCUGCUGCUUCACAGGAUCCAGCAGUCAGGUGACUGUGACUCAGCCUCCAGUGGUGAAAUCUACUCCAGGAUCCACUGUCACCCUGUCGUGUAAAGCCAACACAGCAGUUUACAGAUACUCUGAUGGAAAUGAGGGGCUUUACUGGUAUCAACAGAACUCUGGAGAAACCCCAAAGGUCUUAAUAAAAUUUGUGAAUCAACAUGAAUCAGGAACACCAGCUCGGUUCAGUGGCAGUGGAAGCAGGACUGACUUCACUUUGACCAUCAGUGGAGUCCAGGCUGAAGAUGCAGCAGUUUACUACUGUCACAGUACACAUGCUGGCUAUGUGUUCACACAGUGA